This is a small nuclear RNA of Culex pipiens (northern house mosquito), 80 nucleotides long. It matches the Rfam family "U4 spliceosomal RNA". Rfam says of the family: U4 small nuclear RNA (U4 snRNA) is a component of the major U2-dependent spliceosome. The structure of U4 snRNA from yeast and human has been reported. NCBI's taxonomy places the organism in Eukaryota, Metazoa, Arthropoda, Insecta, Diptera, Culicidae. The record is from Rfam.
AGCUUUGCGCAAUGGCGAAGUCGUAACCAAUGAGGUACAUCCGAGGUGCGAUUAUUGCUAGUUGAAAACUAACUUAUUUU